AACGAACGCUGGCGGCAUGCCUAACACAUGCAAGUCGAACGAGACCUUCGGGUCUAGUGGCGCACGGGUGCGUAACGCGUGUGAACCUGCCCUUAGGUUCGGAAUAACUCCCCGAAAGGGGUGCUAAUACCGGAUAAUGUCUUCGGACCAAAGAUUUAUCGCCUUUGGAUGGGCCCGCGUUGGAUUAGCUAGUUGGUAGGGUAAAAGCCUACCAAGGCGACGAUCCAUAGCUGGUCUGAGAGGAUGAUCAGCCACACUGGGACUGAGACACGGCCCAGACUCCUACGGGAGGGAGGAGUGGGGAAUAUUGGACAAUGGGAGAAAGCCUGAUCCAGCAAUGCCGCGUAAGUGAUGAAGGACUUAGGGUUGUAAAGCUAUUUUAACCGGGAUGAUAAUGACAGUACCGGGAGAAUAAGCUCCGGAUAACUCCGUG
Molecule: ribosomal RNA, 433 nt
Filed under: uncultured bacterium
Lineage: Bacteria
Description: partial 16S ribosomal RNA
Rfam family: Bacterial small subunit ribosomal RNA
Source: RNAcentral